UGAUGAUGUAAUGAGACGGGAUGGUGUUCAUUUGUCCCCCAUUGGGUUAGAUAUUUUCAAUACGGGACUACAAGCUGGAAUUGAGGCGGCGCUGUUGGCGGGGGGGCGCGAUGCCCGCGCAGCGUAGUGCGCGAGGUGGGCAUCGCGGUGGCGGGUUUCCCUAGACAGUGCAGAAGAUAAAAGGAACUUUGGGGGAGACGACAGCCUGCACGGAGC
Pelobates cultripes (western spadefoot toad) is the source of this 216-nucleotide non-coding RNA. Lineage: Eukaryota; Metazoa; Chordata; Amphibia; Anura; Pelobatidae. The record is from the annotation of a GenBank genome assembly.